AUCUAAAUGUAAGCCCGUUGGAGCAGCGCCAUCCGCAUCCUCUGUUCUGUGCUUCCAGCUCGUCUUGUUACAAAUACAUGUCGGUUAGUCCACUGAUUGUACAGCACUAUGGAAUUUCUUGGCGCUUUAUGAAUAAUAAUAAUCUAAAGCUGACCAGAAUAAUUUUUCCCUCAAACGGAAACAUACCGAUCAGACUUAGAGGCAUUAUUAGCAGACCAGCUAUUUGUUUUAUUUUUUUUAAAUUACUAUUAACGGAAAACUGUGAUGGCCCUCCUCUACCCCGCGUGACCCACCUCCUGUCCACCUGUGCUCCACCUCUGUUCUGUCUGAUUUCCUUGCCUGGGGACACUUCCCCAAGUAUGGUAAAUCUCCAUGACAUUCUAACUUAAUUGUCUGCAUCGGAACAGAUUGACGUCCCAACUGCCAAGGAAUUGAAAGACAUAUUUAUUUUAUAUAGCGCCAUCACAUUCUGUAGCGCUGUACAAUGGGAUAUGAAAAACCUAGUUUUACAUUACAUUUACAUUUUACUUUUUUAUUUUUCUCCAAUUGCAUACAUUUGCUUUAAAAAAAAAAAACUGCUAGCACACUGCAGAGAUGGAAUUUCAAGUUCUUUUAAAAAGCUAAAGUAGCUUUUUUCCAUCACUGGUUCCCUUUAAUCUCUUCUUCUGCUUAAUUUUUAUAACUAAAUGAUUACAUUAUUUAACUUUUAAC
Pelobates cultripes (western spadefoot toad) is the source of this 711-nucleotide non-coding RNA. The record is from the annotation of a GenBank genome assembly. Lineage: Eukaryota; Metazoa; Chordata; Amphibia; Anura; Pelobatidae.